AAUCCUCUGUGUUUGGUGAACAGAAUAUGGUGAAAAGUUUUGAAGAACAUACUUCAGCAAGAAGGACAAAGCUAAUGUAAAUAUAAACCAUAAAGUAUCCAAGCAGCUGCACCACCGAUUGAAACUUUGAUAGACGCUUAUACCAUCUAAACGUAUGUGUUAGAAGAGAUCAUAUCUGAAUCUCGGUGCAUUGUUGGCCCAUUUCCUAAGAGCUUACUUGAGAUCAGGUGGUUGGUCAGUUCCGUAAUAUAAUUAAGGCCCUCCCCCUCCCCCUCCCGUCGGGUCCCUGCCUGCCUGGCCGGCGAGCACCGCCGAUCGACGGGGCUCCGGCCUCUGCCGCCCAAGUAUGCCUCUUCGGCCUCUGCAAUAGCUUCUACUUGGGAGCGUACCAGGACGCCAUCAACAAGAGCGAAAUCCCCAAUCUCUCCCUCGACGACGCCGUCGAGCGCGACUCCCUCGUCUAUCGCUCCUACAUCGCCCUCGGCUCCUAGCAGCUCGUGAUCAGUGAGAUUGGUUCCUCAGCCUCCACUGCCCUCCAGGCUGUCAAGUUGCUCACCCUCUACCUCGCCGGAGACAAGGUUGGUUUCCCUGGUACCCGAACUAAAUCUGGUUGGACUUUCUUUUAGGUCUGCUGGUUUAAUUUGUUUCGAUCUGGAGCAGUGAAAUCCAAACCAUUUGAUCUGUCAU
Non-coding RNA from Elaeis guineensis (African oil palm), 687 nucleotides. Lineage: Eukaryota; Viridiplantae; Streptophyta; Magnoliopsida; Arecales; Arecaceae. The record is from RefSeq and is a predicted model, not a curated record.